Molecule: ribosomal RNA, 464 nt
Filed under: Haptophyta environmental samples
Lineage: Eukaryota; Haptophyta
Description: SSU rRNA
Rfam family: Eukaryotic small subunit ribosomal RNA
Source: RNAcentral
GCGCGUAAAUUGCCCGAAUCCUGACACAGGGAGGUAGUGACAAGAAAUAACAAUACAGGGCUACUUUAGUCUUGUAAUUGGAAUGAGUACAAUUUACAUCUCUUCACGAGGAUCAAUUGGAGGGCAAGUCUGGUGCCAGCAGCCGCGGUAAUUCCAGCUCCAAUAGCGUAUAUUAAAGUUGUUGCAGUUAAAACGCUCGUAGUCGGAUUUCGGGGCCUGCCUGCCGGUCUGCCGAUGGGUAUGCACUGGCAGGCGCGUCCUUCCUUCCGGAGACUGUCCCUACUCUUAACUGAGCGGGGUCGGGAGACUGAUCGUUUACUUUGAAAAAAUCAGAGUGUUUCAAGCAGGCAGCUCGCUCUUGCAUGGAUUAGCAUGGGAUAAUGAAAUAGGACUUUGGUGCUAUUUUGUUGGUUUCGAACACCGAAGUAAUGAUUAACAGGGACAGUCAGGGGCACUCGUAUUCC